AUUUUGGACAGUGGGGGAAACCCUGAUCCAGCCAUCCCGCGUGUAUGAUGAAGGCCUUCGGGUUGUAAAGUACUUUUUGCAGAGAAGAAAAGGUAUCUUCUAAUACUAGAUACUGCUGACGGUAUCUGCAGAAUAAGCACCGGCGUACUACGUGCCAGCAGCCGCGGUAAUCAGUAGGGUGCAAGCGUUAAUCAGUAUUACUGGUCGUAAAGCGUGUGCAGGCGGUUCGGAAAAAAAGAUGUGAAAUCCCAGGGCUCAACCUUGGAACUGCAUUUUUAACUGCCGAGCUAGAGUAUGUCAGAGGGGGGUAGAAUUCCACGUGUAGCAGUGAAAUGCGUAGAUAUGUGGAGGAAUACCGAUGGCGAAGGCAGCCCCCUGGGAUAAUACUGACGCUCUGACACGAAAGCGUGGGGAGCAAACA
RNAcentral lists this ribosomal RNA (421 nucleotides) under uncultured bacterium. Its description in RNAcentral is "partial 16S ribosomal RNA". It matches the Rfam family "Bacterial small subunit ribosomal RNA", at positions 361 to 774 of the family's 1533-position model. The record is from RNAcentral.